RNAcentral lists this long non-coding RNA (11092 nucleotides) under Brassica napus (rape). RNAcentral's name for it is "long non-coding RNA (BNAP_LNC022379)". The record is from RNAcentral. Lineage: Eukaryota; Viridiplantae; Streptophyta; Magnoliopsida; Brassicales; Brassicaceae.
GUUAGCAGUUGUAUUCGUAUUACCACCAUCAUCAGAAUCUUUAGUACCAACCGCAACAUUAGCAUCAACAUCAGGUGGUGCUACAUACUUCAUCAGUCGCAGACGGUAAUUCGUUGACUUGAGGUGUUCAUCAAAGUAGUUUUCUAUCCCAAAGCUCUCUAUGACCAUUCUUCUCACCAUUACAUCCAAUUCUGCUAACUUCUCUGAAAACUUCUGGAUCGUUUCGCUGUUUUCAACACAAAGAAAAUUUAUAUAGCUAUUUUAAUAGAAACAAAAAAAAAUGCGUGAAACGUGAGAUUGAAAACAAAAUUUCAGUUCAUUACUAUAUGAGUGAACUGACAUUUUUCCAAAAAAAUAAAGAUAAAAACAAGGUUUUUUAUAGAAAAUUGUCACAUAACUUAUGAAAAACAACUAGCAAAAAGUUACGAAAAUAUUUUUGAUGAAAGAUUAACAGGAAUUUACGAACAAUUAAUUUACUCUAUGAAGCAUUACUGAGUUUUUUUUUUUUGACAUGACGUUACCUCAUAGUCUUGUUACCCUCACAAUCAGGGCGUAGCAGUUGAGUAAAUUCGUUAACUUUCUCCAAAACAUUGGAAUCCUGGAUCCCUAGACUCUCAGAGAGACCAUUAUGAGUUGAAUAUCCAGUGUAAGGUUUCGGAGACACGUUUCUCUGUUUAGCCUCAACUGGUAACUCGAAAAGCUCUAUCAUGGCAUCCAAAACUGACUUCUUAAGCUCUUCUGACACUCUAUCAUAUGACACCUCAAAAGCGCCGUAGUCUUCAAGAGCUUUACGGACAUCACUCCUCACUUCAACCCACUUCUCAUCUCCUGGUUUUAGGGUUUGGUCCGAGAGAUAGAUGACUGGAAGUUGAGGAGUGUCUGCACCCAUUCUUUUCGCCUUUGGUGCAAAUCCAAAAAAUAUAUUUAUAAAAUGUUAAUUAGCUUUAUUUUAACCCGAAAGAAACUGUUUAAGUAGCUCUUUAAUCAUCACAACAAAAGAAAACAUUCAAAACUCAUAAGACAACUACCUUUGGAGUUUUUCUUUGAUUCAAAGAGAUCAAGCUGGUUUUCUUUUCCUUAGUUUUUUUUUUUGCUUCCGUACUGAGAAAGUAAAUGAUGGAAUGUCCAUUUUAUAGACAGAAACAUUCUAUUUUUUUUUUUCCUUUAGAGAAACACACGUGGGUUUAAUAUGAAAAUUCAAAGGGAGGAAAGUUGGUAUAUCACAAAAACAGAUAGCUUUUAAAAAGUUGGUGAAUUGUAUAUCUCGUUUAUAACGUCCCAAUACACUGAAUUGCCUUCGUGGUAUAAGAUGAACAACAACUCAAUCACUAACCUAACAUUUCUCUUUUGUGAAAAAGAUAAGUGUAUGUGAAAAGCAACGGCUAAGAAUAUUAAUCGUAUGGAAUUUCGGUUUUUGAUAACAAGAUAUUUUGAGGAAGAAACUCAUUUUAGUGUUUUUUUUGAAAAAAAAAAGAUUUUGUUUCAAAAAAGUCAAAUAUUUACACUCCCAAUUAACAUUCACACUCUUAGAUCAAUCAUUAUUAAGAAACUCUUGUGAAUUCCUAACAAGUAUAACAACAGAUUUAAUAUAGCUUAUUUGUGUAAUUAAAUUUUAAGUUGCAAAGACAUUUUAAAUAAUUGAUAUAAAGCCAAUUCUUACAAAACAUAUUUGAAGUUUUUUUAUGUGUUUCACUUGAGAGACUCAUGUCACUCAGCUCAUUCUAUCUCCUGCAUUUAUAUUAUUUUCAUUCUUUUUAAUCCCGGGUUAUCAGGAGGUUUCUUAACCCGGAGGUUCCACAAAAACCAUAAAAACCGAUCACAAAAGUAAUGAAAUAAGAGCGUGAUUAACCCGUGAUUCUUAGGAUGAGAUUUUUAGCGGAAGUUAAGAAACAGUUUCUUAACUUCCGCUAAGAAUACCACUCUAAGAACCAUGGGUUAAUCAUGGUCUAAGGACCGAUCUUGGUUGGGCUUUUGCACUGUUUGUGGGCCCCACCGAUACGUGGCGAUCCGCGAUUGGUUUGUUUUUUAAUUUAUUUAUUUUUUUUCAGACCAAAAAAAAUUUAAAACUAUUAAAGAUGCUCUAAUGAUGAUGGACUAACUGAUUACGUUUUCAUGCUUUGUUGGUAUACGUGUGUGUUAUUCCUUUAUAUAUCAGGUGUAUGUAUACGUUUUCAUGCUUUGUUGGUUACGAAUAGAAAUAUAAGUUUUUUUAGUGGGUAGUUUUUCUUUUAGUGGGUAGUGUUUGUAAUCAGAGGGAGUGCUUAAAGCUUUGAUAAAACAAAUCAUAGAAUGUAGUCAAACAAUGAAGUUGCAUGAAUUUAAUUCCAAGAACUUUUUACUUCUUCUUUUUGGCGUAAUUGAACCCAACAUUUUAACUAUACUUUGUGCAGCUAGAAAGAUUAGUCCAUGUUGAAAAUGUUGUGACCGCCUGGGCCUGGCCAGUGUUGCUAAUGAAGACCGAGAUUUCCGAAUUGUCAAAACAUUAUUUCCAUUGCUAGUUUUCUACUUUACUUAUAAAACUCAAAAUAAUAAACAAAUAAAGGGAAAGUGAAUUUUUUUUUGUAACACAUGCUUUCAUUAAUUAAAAGCAAUCAAGGUCUUAGGCCCAAGUUUAGCCAAUAGGAGGGUCCAGCAACAAAGAAGAAGAAAGAUAUUGUUUAGCCAAACAGUCGGCUUCGGCAUUCAGCGAUCGAUUAAGGUGAGAAAAAGUGAUCUCGACGAAAGCACAGGAAAUUUGCUUGAUAUCUUUGAUGACACCGAAGAUUUCCUUUAUCUGCAGGUCGUUGGUAAUAGCUCUGAUGAGCGUUGAGUUAUCAGAGAAACAUCGGAGCUUUGUGAGCCCUAAGUUCCCUGCGGAGAGAAGAGAUGAUCGAAGCGCAAGUGCUUCCGCAAUUAGAGGAGAGUUAACCAGUUCCUUUGUUGUAGUACCAUGUCCAAUGAUUGUUCCUGUAGCCUCUGUAAAUAUCCAGGCCAAGCCAGCUCUCUUGGAGCGUACAUCCCAAGCUGCGUCAGAUCGGCAAGUCACCGCUAGUGGAUCUUCCCUCAAUUGAUUUCGUUGUCUUUUUCCUUGAGGUACUACCUUUGAUUUCGAUUGGGUUGGUUAUUGUGCUGUGAUCCAUUCCUUUGCUAAACGUAGACUUCUCGAUGCCGUCUCUUUAGGUGAAAUUAUUUUGUCCUCAAAAACCAGUUGAUUCCUCGCAUUCCAGAUCAUCCAACAUACCCAAGGGAGCACUGUGCUCGUGACUCCAGUUGGGGGUAGACACACCACUCUCUUGUGGGCGACGACAUCAUCUUUGAAACUCUUUCCUAUCUCCAGUUGGAUCUUGCGAUUAAGAGGAAUGAGCUCCCAAACCUCCCGCACAAAGGGGCAAUGAAAGAAGGUGUGCGUUGCAGUCUCUAGUUCAUUGCAUCUUUUACAAUAGGCUCCUGAUGCCAUACCUCUCUGUUGCAGGUUCUCUCCCAAAGGCAAAGCUCUCUGGAUGACAGACCACAUAAAGAGUUUCAUUUUUGGUGAACACUUUUCGGACCAGACAUCUUUCACCCAGUUAAAGGCUCCUGGCUCGAAGCAGUUUGGUUGUGUAGUUAACUGCAUAGAUGCUGCGAAAUACCCUGAACGCGCAGUGUAUAUUCCAGAUGCUAGUGGUUGCCAUACGAAGGAGUCCUCUGCUUUCAGCAGACUUGGCUGCAGCAGUUGAAUUUCCUUUGUCAGUUGAGGUAAGAGUGCUUCAAUCUUGUUUUUAUUCCACUGCAUAUCUGCCGUGAGUAGAUCUGAGACUGUUAAGUCCAACUCUGCUUCUCUUAGGGGGCCAAACGGUUUGAGCUGUGUAGUCAAUGAGAUCCAUGAAUCUUUCCAUAUCCUAGUAGUCUCUCCAUUUCCAAUCACCCUGCCUAGGUUCCCUUUCAGGAGAUCUCUUCCAUGGAGGAUGCUCCUCCAUCCAUGGGAGCAAACCGCCGGCACUUGAAUGUCAAUGAAAGAUUUUGAGUGACAAUACUUUCCUAGGAGGACUCUAGCGAGUAGACUAUCUGGAUUUGUAAGCAGGCGCCAAGCCUGUUUAGCUAGCAAUGCUUGGUUGAAAGUCUGGAUGUUUCUGAUUCCUAAACCUCCACCUGCUUUAGGUUUAGUUAACUUGUCCCAAGCAACCCAUGCCAUUUUUCUUUUUCCAUUUGGAUUGUCCCACCAAAAUCUAGUGAAAACUGACUGUAUACGCUUGCAUAAAGUAUAGGAAGUUCGAAGCAUGACAUAGAGAAGGUUGGUAUCGUAGUCAGAACCGACUUCAGCAUCGUGAGCUUACCUGCUCUGGACAGGAAUCUCGUUGACAGACUGGAGGCUCGUUGUCGAAUUCUAUCCACUAUGGCCGUGAACAAAUCCUUCUUGCGUCUUCCAAAGUGUUCAGGUAAACCCAAAUAUUUUCCAUUUCCCCCUUCUUUGGAUAUUCCGAUUAGACUCUUAACAUUUUCUCUCAUCUCUGCUGAAGUUCUGGAGGAAAAGGUGAUAGCUGACUUCUCCUUGUUUAUUUUCUGGCCUGAAGCUUGCUCAUACUCCCAGAGGAUGUCUUUCAAUUUCGUACAUCUAGAAGGGGAUGAUUGAUAGAAGAACAUGGUAUCAUCUGUAAAAAGCAGAUGAUUAACCCUCGGGCUUCCCUUGGCCACUCGAAUACCUUGCAAGGUACCGUCUCUUUCCGCUCUUUGGCACAGACCAGAUAGAACUUGGCCACAUAGAAUAAAGAGAUAGGGAGAUAGAGGAUCUCCCUGUCUAAUUCCUCUAUUAGGUGUGACUGAGCCCUGAAUAGUGUCGUUGAUCAGAUAGGAGUAUGACACCGUAGUUACACACUGCAUAAUCAGAUUAACCCAUUUUUCGUGGAAACCUAGUCUCUGAAGCACCUGUGCAAUAAACCUCCAUUAUACUCUGUCAUAUGCCUUAGACAUAUCAGUCUUAAAUGCCAUUGUGCAUCUCUUUUGAGCUUGAGAGGUCUUUAGGUAUUGUAGAACUUCGUGAGUGAUUACUAUAUUGUCUGCUAUUGCCCUGCCUGGAAUGAAUGCUGAUUGAUUCUCGGAUAUGAUAGAAUGUAGCGUUGGUUUUAGCCUGAGUGCCAGUAACUUCGAAAUAAUCUUGAAAUAGACAUUACAUAGCGCUAUAGGGCGAUAGUCGGCGACUCGUUUUGCUCCAACAAUCUUGGGAAUCAAUCUGACAUGUGUUACAUUUUGCGAGGGUCUGAGGGUUUCUAUCUCGAAGAAGGUCUUGAUCUCUUUUACCACAUCUAGGCCCACCACAUCCCAAUUAGCUUGGAAGAAGCUAGCUGAGAAUCCAUCAGGACCUGGAGCUUUAUCCGGGUGAAUAGCAAAAAAUUGCUUCUUUGAUCUCCUCCAUUGUUGGCUCUUUUAUUAAUUCCUCAUUCAUUUCUGCAGUGACGCAAGGUUGCAAUGACUUCUCUACUGUUUGUAGCCCAUUGAAGCUGUCUGAGGUGAAGAUAUGAUCAAAGUAUUUACAGAUGACUGCUGCAAUUUGAUCUUCCUCAAACCAAGGUACUCCAUUAUCAUCCUCUAAAACUGUCAUUCUAUUUCUCGAUUUCCUCGCUUUAGUGGAGGCAUGAAAAUACCCUGUAUUAGAGUCACCAAGCGUUAACCAAAGUUGUAUACUGCGUUGCCUCCAAUAGUCUUCUUCUGCCUUGUAGGCCUUAAGGAGUCUCAUGUUUAACUCGUGAAUCAGUUCAUCAUCAGGAGUGUGACUGGUCAUUGCAUCAUCUAGUUGAGAUCGCAGAGUCUCAAGAUUUUUCCUACUAUUCUCAUGAUAUGCCCUGCUCCAGCUGCAGAUCGCUUUCCUGCAGUAUGAGAGUUUUUCUUCCACCUUCAGGUAGGGAAAUGCGUUCCAUGUUUCUUGUACCAGUUUUCUUAUUUCCGGAUUAUCCUCGAGUCUUCUAUCGAAUCUGAAGAUUUUAGCUCCUUUCUUUCUUCUAGUGUCUAGGAAGGUGAGCAGAGGGCGGUGAUCUGAACCUUCGUACUUGAGAUACUGGCACCUACAUGACGGGAAUGUGUCAAACCACUCACUGUUGCUAAUGGUCAUGUCUAGUCUGCAUUGUACAACGUAAGUACUUCUCUUCCCUCGCCAAGAUAGGUAAUUGCCAUAUUGUUUGACAUCAAAGAGCCCGUUGUUUGAGAGGAAAGAUUUAAAUGAGCAGAAAGUUCCUUCUGCUCUCUCAGGCCCUCCUUUUUUCUCACUAUUGUCAGUAAGUUCAUUGAAGUCUCAGGUCAGAAGCCACAGGUUUCCAGGGGCUGGUUGCAGAGAUGAGAGUUCAUUCCAAAUUGAGAGCCUCUUGGUAUGGUCAGGUUCCCCGUAGACAAAAGUAAUUUGGUACGUCUUUCCUUUAUCUGAUACGAUGGUAUCUAUAAAGUUCUUUGUGCUAGCUCUCACUGUGAGUUGAACUUCCUUUUUCCAGAUGAGGAACAAGCCUCCACCUCCCGGGCUAUGUGAGGGAACAGUGUGAUAGUUAUCAAUUGGGAGCCAUUUCAGAGUUUCUGUGACCAUGUCCGUGUUGUUUUUCGUCUCCAUGAGGAAGAGGAUGUCUGGUGAGUUCCUUCCAUGGAUCUCUUUCAGACGCUGGACUGUUAUGGGGUUCCUCAGCCCACAACAGUUCCAGAUCAGAGCGACUAAGGAGCCGGGGGUGGAAGAGGCCGAAAAUCCUGCUUCUUCCUUGGGGGAUUUGGAGGUCUUCUGGUCGAGGAGGUGUUAACUCUUCUUGAUGGUCCUGCCUCUCCAUUUUUCUGCCUUGCUUCACUUUGCUUAGAAGGAGAACCUCUGCUAUCCUGCUUUUUUCGCGACAUUGCUGGAAUCAAUUGUAUGGCCGGGUUCUUUGUCAGCAAUAUACUCCCCUUCUCCACAGCAUCUCCUCUUCUGGUUACUCCUGAUGACAGAUGAUUUUUGGAUGGAGCUCCAGAGAGGCACUUUCUUCCGUUGAUCGGUGAGUGUUGGAUUUGCGAAAACUUCCUUUUCUUAAGGCUUACUCCUCGUAGAAUGUUUGGAGAUAGGCGUGGUGAGCGUAUCCUAAAUUUAUAUGCUCUCUUUUUCUUUGUUUUGUUUUGGAAAUUUAGUAGCGUAUCUUCAUCAUCUGCUACUUCCAAAACUUCCUUUGAAAUCGUAUUUCCUUCUUCUAUACGAACUUCAGGGCUUACAACAAUUGAUUUGAGCCUUCCAGAAUAGAUAUCCUCAGGACUCUUGUUUGAUCGCCUUGUCAGCACUACGGACUCAAUACCGUUUGGGUCAAUGUUUCGUAUUGCCGGAGGGGGGGGGGAGGGGUGACUUCUACGUCUGAUGGUUGCAUAGCUAAGUCGAAGUCAAUACCCGGAGGGCUUUCUGAUCGAACUCCACGCUCCCAAUGAGAUAGGGGACGUCUCUGUUCUGCUGAUGCCGCUAAGAUUGACUCAGCAGUCUUUUCCAUUAAGCCUUCAGCGUCUCCUGCGAGUACUCGUUGUCUUCUUGCCGCGGUUUCAACCGGAUCUGCACAACUGAGGUACUGUUUUGUAACUUCCUGCAAUUCUUGUAAUACCUGAUCUUUAGAUAAGCCCACACCAUUACGGUAGUUCUGACUAGUCUCUAUCGUAUGUCCAUCAGAGCUUCCACGUAGUCUCAUAAGGCCUACAGCAGUCUCUUCAGUUUGAUUUCUAAUAUCCCCUGCCAGUACCUUGUGUCUUCUUGCAGCCGCUUCCAUGGGAUCUGGGCAGCUUAGGUAAAGCUUUGUUGCUUCAUUUAGAUCCUCUGUAAUUUGUUCCUCCGUUUGACCCUUUGGUGUUUCUUGACGAGUUUGUUCUUGAGUGACUUCUAAAAGAGGACCCUGAGAAGAUGUAACGCCUGGAACACCUACAUGGGCCCUUUCUGAGCAAGUAAGUGUUGCUGGCUUCAUUCUCCAUUCGCUAAGCCCUUUCUGAGGGAACGAGUUUUUCCUUGGGAAAUUAGUCUCUCUCACGAUGUCUCUUCUCAUUGUGUAGGGCGGAGAGCUAUAUCCUUGGGGUUCAGGAGCUCUUUCUGAAGCUUUGCUUCUCCAGUUGUGAGAUUCUCCCCUUGAUUUCUCUAAAGUCCUUAUUGGUGGAGGAACCCGUGUUUGCUUGGUCGCAGCUCUAGCACCGAAGCUGUUCCCAUGGCGGUCUACUCUCUCAUGGAAGGCACUCUUAUGCUGUUCAACUCUGUUCAUAACCCUUCCCCCUCCAUCAGGUAAAGAUCCAUCUUCACUACAGUGGGGGACUAGUGCCAGAUGUUUGCUGUUACGGUACGAGCCAUCUUCUUCCGAGUAGGUUCCCACUCUCUGUGCUGUCAUAUUUUCCUUCUGUUUGAAUUCCCCUUCAUGUUCAGCCCGGAGAGCCAUCGUGCAAUAUUUCUUCAGAUGGGACAAGGAGUUGCAGAGUGAACAAUGAUUUUCAAGCUUCUCAUACUCGAGGUAGAUGAUGCUUUCCUCUCCGGAGUCGUAUUCGAUGAUGGCUUCUUUAGUCAGUGGCUUGAGUCCAUCUACUAGAACUUUGACCCUUGUUGUUGUUUUAGUCAGUUCGUGGUCUAGGAUCGUUCCAAGGUCCUUCCCUAUAUUACAGAUCAUGUCUUCUAGCCAGAAGUGAAAAGGAAGACCUUUAAUGCGAAUCCAGAAGGGGAUCUGUGAAGGAAAUGAAGCCGAUAUUAUGGUUUCCCACCUCUGUAUUAUGACCAUCCAGUAAGCAAACUGGUAAGGUCUGUUGUCCAGAACUCUCUGUAGAUCUUCUUCUCUUAUAAAUCUGAACUGAAAACAUCUAUUUCCCAGAUCUGACCCAGUAACUCUUCCUUGCAUGUGCCAUUUGCGAGGUAAGGCUGGUAAGACUGCCCAGAUUCUUUGCUCCUGCGGGUUAGUCACCCUACCUAUGAGAGUAAGGGCGUUUUCCUUGAUAAGCGCUGAGUUGUCUACAUAGGGGGCCUUCAUUCUUUUGAUGUGGGGUACAUGUUCUUCAACCGCUUGGGUCUUUCCUUUUUCUUCUUUUAAGUAACGUCUUGCCAUGAUUCUUCGCCGGUAACUAGCGUUGUAGUUUGUAGAGCGAAAAGUUUCCUUACCAUGUCUUCAGAAGCUCUUAAAACUUGUACAGUUUAUAACCUGAGGUGAUGUUCUUGAAGUCAAAUGAGGGUUUGAAGCUUGAGAUUUGAAAAGCUAGAUCUUGGAGGCGUUUUAAGGCUGGGGGGCCAAAGGUGAUUUAUUAAAGGUAAUGUUUCGUUAGGCUUUGCCCAAGACCGAUCCUAAUUUGUAACGUUGUUCAUGAGAAGAGUGUUGGCACUUGCAAAUCGCUAUUUCAAACACUUUGUUCAUGAGACAAUGCAUGUCUAUAUUUUAAAUAACAUUACUAAUUUACAAUUGUAAUUAUUCGUUUCACUAAUUUUUGGACCACAACACAUACACCUAUUGCAAGUAAACCGGUCAAACUUUAAAUAACAUUACUAAUUUACUAUUUACGAUUUUGGCAUUUUGCAAACAAACAAAUUCCUAAGGUAAGGGGGAUCUACAUGUCAACUCAAAACCACUAUCGCUACGAUAACAUGAAAGUAAAUCAUUCACUUAUUUAGCGUUUAAUGUUUGAAAUCGCAAACACCCGUUUUUAUAUGUUCCACACUCGUUUCCCAUCUGCUGAAAUUAAACUAGUAUUUUUUUAGAAAAAAAAAUGAAUUUAAUUUAGUUUAAAAAAGAAGAAGAAAUUAACCUAUUUAAUUAACCUAUUUACGAUCUUGACAUCUUGUGAACCAACAGAUCCAACCAAAUUCAUUACAUUAUUGAACAUGCUCAUACACAUACACUUUAUUGAUUUUUCAUACAAAAGAGAGACUUGAUUGCUUCUCCCGAAAUAAAACACAUAUACUCAACUAAUCCAAAAACUCUUAUUUAGUACUACAUGUAGUUCUUGAUAUUAGUUGAACCAUGAAACUACUUAAACAUUGUUGAAACUCUCGUAAGUAAGCGCACACAUUUAUGCUCCAGAGACGGCACAAUAAGCGUGAAGAGUAGAACGAGGUCUACGACCAGCCUCAGUGUGAUAGAAACUCAUCAAGUCAACGUAAGUGAAUGGUUUGAAGAGACGUGGGUGCUUCUCGUCCACAAGCUCUUUUGGUGGUUCGAUGAUGUAAUCUCCGUUUGGAGUCGAGAACAAUGCUAUUGAAUACCUUGUCUUCUUUCUUUCCGUUACUCUUACUCUAUGAAACGGACGAGAUAGUCUACCAUUCAUAAGUGCCUGCAAAAAAAAAGUAAAAAAAAAUCCAACACCAAGAUUCAUGAUGAGAAGAAAACAUAAUGUUAAUGUAUAAACACUUUAGUAACGUCGACAUGCAUUUGUGAAAGUGAUAAGAAAAAAUAAAAAGGUGAAUUAUAUAAUAUUUAUAUCCUAAAGUUAUGAAUGUGUAUAUCAUAAAGUUAUAAUAUAUAUAUCAUAAAAAAGUUAUGAUUAUUAUGAGGAUCGCAAUUAAUAUAUUACUAGGUUAAGAUCUGCGCCUUGCGCGGAAUCAACAUUAUAUAUAAAAUUAUUUUAUGUAUUAAAUAUUUUUACAUUUUAUGAAAUAAUUAAUAUAUAUUAAAACAUCAUCUGCGCCACCAUUAGCUUUAACACUAUCACUAACGCCAACAGUAGCACUAGUACGAGUACCAGUAUUAGCCUUAACAUCAGCAAUAGUGCCAAUGUUAACAUCAGCACCAACACUAGAUUUAGCACUAACAUUAGUACCAACGUCGACAUUAGACUUAACAUUAGCACAAUCACCAGUAUUAACGUCAUCACCAUUAUGAUUGGUACCAGCACCAGUGCAAACGUCACCCUUGGCAUCAGCAUCGUCAUCAAUAUGAACUUUAGCAAUACCAUUAGCAAUAUCAUCAGCAUCAGCGUUAGCAGUUGUAUUCGUAUUAGCACCAUCAUCAGAAUCUUUAGUACCAACCGCAACAUUAGCAUCAACAUCAGGUGGUGCUACAUACUUCAUCAGUCGCAGACGGUAAUUCGUUGACUUGAGGUGUUCAUCAAAGUACUUUUCUAUCCCAAAGCUCUCUAUGACCAUUCUUCUCACCAUUACAUCCAAUUCUGCUAACUUCUCUGAAAACUUCUGGAUCGUUUC